Molecule: non-coding RNA, 3250 nt
Organism: Odocoileus virginianus texanus
Lineage: Eukaryota; Metazoa; Chordata; Mammalia; Artiodactyla; Cervidae
Source: RefSeq, a predicted model, not a curated record
GUCGCACCCCAGCCUGCCCCUCCCCCUUCCUCAGCUUUCUGCCUCCCGACUGGAAGCGCCCCCAGGAGUCAGAGGAGACUCGCUCAGCGUCUGCUCUUGGGGUGAAAUCCAGGGAUUUUCCCAGCAAGAUUUUGCUUCCGAAGCUGUUCUCUGUUCAGGGUACACGGUCUCCCGCAGCCUGGUGUCCCUUACUAGGAGAGUCUCCAGGUGGACCAGGACAAGUAAGCGUGAGAAGGGGACCAAGCACCCAGUGAAGGAUGCUGGGCAGGCAGUACCAUACUCCUUCUGACCAUCCUCAUUUUAUGGGAGCUGAACUUUCACAUUGGUCUGAACGCAAGAUGCCCACUGUGUGACCCGGAUCAGGGAUUGCAUGGCCUGAACAGACUGCCGGUUCCAGCUGUCCCCUCUACAGAUGAGGAAACUGAAUCCCGACUGCCUGGUGGCCCUACUUUCACAAUACAUAUUUCACUCCACCUCCCAGACUUCCCCACCUCUCCUCAGGGGCAUUGAACUUCAGAUGAAACUUCAGUGGAGCUACCCCCUUAGGAAGAACCCAUACCGCGGUGCUGGGAAAGAUUGAAGGCCAGAGGAGAAGGGGACAACAGAGAAUGAGAUGAUUGGAUGACAUCACUGACUCAAUGGAUAUGAGUUUGAAUUCUUUACUCACUGAGCCAUCAGGAAAGCCCAUCUUAUUGGAGUGAAAGUUAAAAAAGCUUGGAACACCUAAGGACGGACCUGAAAAUCAAUUUCCACCAGAGAUGGGGUAGAGGGGAAGGUCAGUAAUGUAUCUAUAAUUCCAUUUACAAAUUUAGUGGGGAAAAAAAAGUCCAGGCCAUAUGAGAUCCAGAGUUUUGCUUUAUUAGACAUCUAUGAAGAAGAGUUUGCAGAUACAAUCAAAUUGUGAACUGCUGCAAAGUUCUGCGAAGUUUUAAUUUAUCCUUUAGUGAACAGACCCCAGUGGCUGAUAUUUUAGAAUACAGUUCCAUAUUCCAAGCAGAUGAGAGAUGUGAUGUUAUGGCCAACAACUUUAUACUAGUCAUCCACUUAAGCUGUUUCCCAGCAUAAAUAUGCAGUUUAAUCACAGCUAUUUCAUCUCUACCAUGUGUGAUUCGAUCUUCGACUAAUAAUGCAUUUUGACUCCUGUUUAUAUUGGUGCAUGCGAUUCUUUGCCACCCUGGCAAUUAACCAGACCUGGACUCUAAAAGCUAAACUUGAUCUAAAUAACAUUCUAGGGGUAGGGCAGGCUCUGUAAUCUGGACUCAUCUUAGCCAUCCGUCUGCAAAAGCACUUGUAUGUCUCCUUUUUCCUAUCGUGUCUGUCUGUAACUUGUCUGUCAUUCACACUUAUUAGUGCCUGCUGUAUACAAUGGAGAUCCUUUGACAGGUCUUCUUCUAAGAAACUUGAACCUCAGAUAAUAUGCCAGGGACAACUGAGUACUGGGUCAAGACAACAGGCCUUUUAGAAACUUUCUAAGAUCAGAAAACGUGCCCCAAGUGUAUCUAUCCAGUGCUCUUACUCUAGAAUAUUUCUGGGGGUGGGGGAAGGAGAGGGGAGGGAUGGAUUUGAGGAUUCUAAGUGUGAUUAUUAGGACUGCAUCUCUGGGGACAUUAGAAAAUCCAGUAAAAUCAUCACCCCCUCUCCAUUAUCUUUUUGCCAACAUCGCAAAUUUCAACCAUUUCCUUGAAGAGAAAUGGUGAACAAGGAGACAUUCUUAACAGAAGGCGGGAAAGGCCUUACAUUAGCCACAAAAAGGACUUGACUCUAUUACUCACACUUAAUCCAGUAGGAAGGCUGAAUUUGUGUACUACCCGAUUCCUUCCUUUGAUUCUGGUGUCCUGAAAACAUCACCAUUUUGCCCUCAGAGUGAUUGCGUUGCCCCAAAAGGAGAGGUUGCCAACCAUGCAGGGCACAUUUUUUGGCAGUUUCUCUGCACAGUCAUGUGGCUUACAGAGCCAGACGGUUCAGCUCUCAAAGACAGGACAGGAGAAUCAAUACAUUAUUAUGCUUCUUUAAAUAUAAACUGUGAACCUUUGGGAAGGAUGUGCAUGUGUAGAAAGCUCUGAUGAAGCUGUCGACCCAUCUGGUCUAUUUCUUAGAGGACUCUGACCCUAGGCACCGCUGUCUAUUGUUGAGUCUACAUACACAGUCCGUAGCUUAGCAUCAGUACAAAUUAAGCACGGUCAAGAAAUGAAGCCAUGGAAAAUUAAAGGCAGCAAUGUCAUCAACAAAAUUCAAUGAGCAUUUUCCCCUUUUUUCUUUUUUAACAAGAAAAGCACAUUGUAGAAAUCAAGAUUCUGUACAAUUUUCUAAUAUUAUAUGUACAUAAAAUUAUAUUAUAACUCAAUUGAAAAGUCUUGUUUGUAGAGUAUGGCUGGCAACACCAAAGAAUGACCCAGAACAUUAAGCUUUUGAAGCAGAGCAGGCAGCAAGAGGACCCUAGCGCGCACACCUUUGUGCCUGAAUGCGAAACCCGGCUCCUAAGGAUGUGACUAGCAUUCUCCAGUUCUCUGCUGUGUUCGUGUUUCACAUUCUAGUAGGGAAUUCUGCAGCAAGCGAUGUGAAAAAGGAGACACGUUAAAAUGAAAUUGGAAAUGCUGUUUAAAAUCUGCAUAUGAUAAUGGGCUGUGAUAAUGGGUUUGUGAAUCCAACUCGACUCGAGUUCAAAGUUAGUGGCUCAACCAUCUUCCCCUCUUUUUAUUAUGCAUGCCUUCGGUGAUUUAAAACUGACUGAACUCCAGCAGGUGGAAAAGACAGCUUUGAACAGAUCAGAAGGGCUGUGAGUCAGGUUCUGGAUUCUUUUCCUGCAGUUGGCUCCUGAAAGUGGAAGACUGGCUUUGCAAGUGGGGAAGGAUGGGGAGCAGGCACACACACCAGUUGGUUCAUCUGCCCCAUUCUUCAGCUGCCUUUCUUCCAAUCUCUUUCCUCCCAGGCCCUGCCAUCCCCAAGCCAGGUGGAGCUCCAGCCCCACUCCCCAGAGGGCAAGGGGUGGGCUCCUGGCCCUUCACUUGUAGAUCCUCUCUCAAGGAACCUAACCAGAGGCUGCAGUCUGUGCCCCAGCUUUCAAAAAACCUAGUUGGGAAUUUUCAGAUUCCAAUUCAGCCACAGUCCCCUCUGGCAUUUACUAAACAAUGCAGAUUCGGAUUCCCUCUCAAGUUCGUAAAAGGGAGAGGAUCCAAGAACCUGUUUUUAAGAAGCCCCCAGGCGGUUCUUGCAGGGGAGAUCCGCAGAUCUGCUUUGGAAAAAAAAAAAA